GGGACGUUAGCUCAGUUGGUAGAGCAACUGACUCUUAAUCAGUGGGUCUAGGGUUCGAAUCCCUAACGUCCCACCA
Molecule: transfer RNA, 76 nt
Filed under: bacterium
Lineage: Bacteria
Also listed under: 2 other names
Description: tRNA-Lys
Rfam family: tRNA
About the family: Transfer RNA (tRNA) molecules are approximately 80 nucleotides in length. Their secondary structure includes four short double-helical elements and three loops (D, anti-codon, and T loops).
Source: RNAcentral